CCAAACCGUAUCUGAUCACAAGAGUA
This 26-nucleotide non-coding RNA is filed under the name Homo sapiens (human). The record is from RNAcentral. Lineage: Eukaryota; Metazoa; Chordata; Mammalia; Primates; Hominidae.